GACGAACGCUGGCGGCGUGCUUAACACAUGCAAGUCGAACGGAAAGGCCCUGCUUGCAGGGUACUCGAGUGGCGAACGGGUGAGUAACACGUGGGUGAUCUGCCCUGCACUUCGGGAUAAGCCUGGGAAACUGGGUCUAAUACCGGAUAGGAGCCAUUUUUAGUGUGAUGGUUGGAAAGUUUUUUCGGUGUAGGAUGAGCUCGCGGCCUAUCAGCUUGUUGGUGGGGUGAUGGCCUACCAAGGCGGCGACGGGUAGCCGGCCUGAGAGGGUGGACGGCCACAUUGGGACUGAGAUACGGCCCAGACUCCUACGGGAGGCAGCAGUGGGGAAUAUUGCACAAUGGGCGCAAGCCUGAUGCAGCGACGCCGCGUGGGGGAUGACGGCCUUCGGGUUGUAAACUCCUUUCGCUAGGGACGAAGCUUUUUGUGACGGUACCUAGAUAAGAAGCACCGGCUAACUACGUG
This 465-nucleotide ribosomal RNA is filed under the name uncultured bacterium. RNAcentral's name for it is "partial 16S ribosomal RNA". It matches the Rfam family "Bacterial small subunit ribosomal RNA", at positions 28 to 507 of the family's 1533-position model. The record is from RNAcentral.